CUCUCCUCUUCCAAUACUCCUCAUCAGUCUCCUUAUGAGCCGAUUUUGACGCCAAGGCCAAUGUGAGAAAUGGGACUAAAAACAACAAGGUUGUGGUAUUGACAGGUAAAUGUCUGGCCUUAAGGUUCGACCAGACCCAGAAAAACCGAACCGAACCAAACCGAAUUAUUCUAGAGAUGCACCAUGGUUCGGCCGGUCUGCGUAGAGUAGAUAAUAAAUGGGUGCUUUUAUAGGCGGAGGGAUUGCACCCUAUGAAUAGAGGGAGAAGGGGAGAGAAUUAAGGAGGGCCAGAGGCAUAACUUAUAGACACACAAAUACAUGUACAUGAAGAGAAGACUUGGCCCAUGGACAUGAGUGAAUCUAGGGAGAAAAUCCAGUUGACAAAGGAGCAUGCGCAAUAACAGGACACACAAAAAUUUUUGAGAAAUUUGUGGACGUGGUAUCUAAAAUACACCUAGCUAAUAAUGCUGCCCUAUCCCUUUUUUGGGGGGAAAAAAAAUUCCCCUUCUUGCUACCAGAAAUGAGAUCAUGCUAGACUGACUUUCCUUCUCUGAUGUAAAAACUUCAGAACAUUUAAAAAAAAAAACUUGAAUUGA
Long non-coding RNA from Asparagus officinalis (garden asparagus), 596 nucleotides. RefSeq lists it as uncharacterized. The record is from RefSeq and is a predicted model, not a curated record. The transcript is spliced from 2 exons. Lineage: Eukaryota; Viridiplantae; Streptophyta; Magnoliopsida; Asparagales; Asparagaceae.